This 529-nucleotide ribosomal RNA is filed under the name Oxytrigona mellicolor. Its description in RNAcentral is "partial 16S ribosomal RNA". The stretch from base 377 to 529 matches the Rfam family "Bacterial large subunit ribosomal RNA", at positions 2473 to 2626 of the family's 2925-position model. The record is from RNAcentral. Lineage: Eukaryota; Metazoa; Arthropoda; Insecta; Hymenoptera; Apidae.
GUCUUAUUGAAAAUAAUUUUAAGUCAAUCUGCUCAAUGAAAUAUUUUUUAAAUAGCUGCAGUAUAACUGACUGUACAAAGGUAGCAUAAUCAAUUGAUUUUUAAAUGAAAUCUGGAAUGAAAGAAUUAAUGAAAUAUAUACUGUCUCAUAUUUAUUUUAUGAAUUUAAAUUUUUAAUAAAAAUGUUAAAAUUAUUUUAUGGGACGAUAAGACCCUAUAGAAUUUUAUAUUAAAUUAUUUUUAUAAUAAAUAUAAAAUUUAAUUUAAUAUUUAAUUGGGAGAAUUAUUAAAUUUAAUAAAUUUUAAUUAAUAAAAACUUAAAUUAAAGAAAAAAUAAUGAUCUUUAAUUUAAAAUUUCAAGAAUAAAUUACCUUAGGGAUAACAGCGUUAUAUUUUUUUAUAGAUCACAUAGAAAAAAAUGAUUGCGACCUCGAUGUUGAAUUAAGAUAAAUUUUAAACGAAGAAGUUUAAUAAUUAAGUCUGUUCGACUUUUAAAAUCUUACAUGAUUUGAGUUCAAAUCGACGUAAGU